Molecule: long non-coding RNA, 436 nt
Filed under: Heterocephalus glaber (naked mole-rat)
Lineage: Eukaryota; Metazoa; Chordata; Mammalia; Rodentia; Bathyergidae
Description: lncRNA (ENSHGLG00000044604.1)
Source: RNAcentral
GGGGAAGCCAAGCCUUGACUUCGCGGGAGCCCACAGACCUGGUCUUUACUCUGGAGCCGCAUCGUCCCGGGUACAGAGCAGGCAGGACCUCAACCAAGGCAUGGAAGACUCUGCAGAAGGGGAGCGCCAGACACCUAAAGGGAAAUUCAUCUAGAAAAGACAUAAAGAAACCGGGUGUGCUGGGCACGAGCUUCCUGCAGGGCUGGCCAGCAACGGCACACUGGUGUCUCGUUCCCCACCCAGCACCAUCACCGCCCUGGAGGGGCCCCACCGAGACACCGAGACACCGUCUGUCAGAGGGCAGGUCACAGACCCACCCAGCACCACGUGGAAGGGGACGCAGGGGACACAGGCGCGAGCACCAGGAGCAGGGAGCCUGGGGUCCUCUGGGGGCAGAACUUGGACAGAAAAAGGGACCCAAAUGGAGCACAGCCGG